AGUGAACGCUGGCGGUAGGCCUAACACAUGCAAGUCGAACGGCAGCACAGUAAGAGCUUGCUCUUACGGGUGGCGAGUGGCGGACGGGUGAGGAAUACAUCGGAAUCUACUUUUUCGUGGGGGAUAACGUAGGGAAACUUACGCUAAUACCGCAUACGACCUACGGGUGAAAGCAGGGGAUCUUCGGACCUUGCGCGAUUGAAUGAGCCGAUGUCGGAUUAGCUAGUUGGCGGGGUAAAGGCCCACCAAGGCGACGAUCCGUAGCUGGUCUGAGAGGAUGACAGCCAAACCUGGACUGGAGCACCGGUCCGACUCCUUAGGGAAGGAAGAGUUGGGAAAAAUUGACAAUUGGGGGAAAGCCUGUCCAAGCAAACCGGGGUGGUUGAGGAAGCCCUUCGGGUGGAAAGGCCUUUUGGUGGGGAAAAAAAGCAACAGGGUAAAACCCCGCUGUUCUGACGGUACCCAAAGAAUAAGCACCGGCUAACUUCGUG
RNAcentral lists this ribosomal RNA (491 nucleotides) under uncultured bacterium. RNAcentral describes it as "partial 16S ribosomal RNA". It matches the Rfam family "Bacterial small subunit ribosomal RNA", at positions 29 to 507 of the family's 1533-position model. The record is from RNAcentral.